Molecule: ribosomal RNA, 482 nt
Filed under: uncultured bacterium
Lineage: Bacteria
Description: partial 16S ribosomal RNA
Rfam family: Bacterial small subunit ribosomal RNA
Source: RNAcentral
UGAACGCUGGCGGCAUGCUUUACACAUGCAAGUCGCACGGCAGCGCGGGCUUCGGCCUGGCGGCGAGUGGCGAACGGGUGAGUAAUGCAUCGGAACGUGCCCAGUAGUGGGGGAUAGCCCGGCGAAAGCCGGAUUAAUACCGCAUACGACCUGAGGGUGAAAGCGGGGGACCGAAAGGCCUCGCGCUAUUGGAGCGGCCGAUGUCGGAUUAGCUAGUUGGUGGGGUAAAGGCUUACCAAGGGGACGAUCCGUAGCUGGUCUGAGAGGACGACCAGCCACACUGGGACUGAGACACGGCCCAGACUCCUACGGGAGGCAGCAGUGGGGAAUUUUGGACAAUGGGGGCAACCCUGAUCCAGCCAUGCCGCGUGCGGGAAGAAGGCCUUCGGGUUGUAAACCGCUUUUGUUCGGGAAGAAAUCCUCUGGGCUAAUACCCCGGGGGGAUGACGGUACCGGAAGAAUAAGCACCGGCUAACUACGUG